UACGUAGGGGGCAAGCGUUAUCCGGAUUUACUGGGUGUAAAGGGAGCGUAGACGGUAAAGCAAGUCUGAAGUGAAAUGCCAGUGCUCAACACUGGAACUGCUUUGGAAACUGUUUGGCUGGAGUGCAGGAGAGGUAAGUGGAAUUCCUAGUGUAGCGGUGAAAUGCGUAGAUAUUAGGAGGAACACCAGUGGCGAAGGCGGCUUACUGGACUGUAACUGACGUUGAGGCUCGAAAGCGUGGGGAGCAAACAGG
RNAcentral lists this ribosomal RNA (253 nucleotides) under uncultured bacterium. RNAcentral's name for it is "partial 16S ribosomal RNA". It matches the Rfam family "Bacterial small subunit ribosomal RNA", at positions 524 to 776 of the family's 1533-position model. The record is from RNAcentral.